GGGCGAUUAGCUCAGUUGGUUAGAGCACCUGUCUUACACACAGGGGGUCGCAGGUUCGAGCCCUGCAUCGCCCACCA
RNAcentral lists this transfer RNA (77 nucleotides) under Candidatus Hydrogenedentota bacterium. RNAcentral's name for it is "tRNA-Val". It matches the Rfam family "tRNA". Rfam says of the family: Transfer RNA (tRNA) molecules are approximately 80 nucleotides in length. Lineage: Bacteria; Pseudomonadati; Candidatus Hydrogenedentota. The record is from RNAcentral.